This is a long non-coding RNA of Oncorhynchus keta (chum salmon), 1577 nucleotides long. RefSeq lists it as uncharacterized. NCBI's taxonomy places the organism in Eukaryota, Metazoa, Chordata, Actinopteri, Salmoniformes, Salmonidae. The record is from RefSeq and is a predicted model, not a curated record. The transcript is spliced from 4 exons.
AGACCAGACCAGGACCAGACCAUAACAGACCAGAGGAGCAGGAUCAUAAAUCAGCACCAGGCAGGUAGAGGAGCAGGAUCAUACAUCAGCACCAGGCAGGUAGAGGAGCAGGAUCAUACAUCAGCACCAGGCAGGUAGAGGAGCAGGAUCAUACAUCAGCACCACGCAGGUAGAGGAGCAGGAUCAAACAUCAGCACCAGGCAGGUAGAGGAGCAGGAUCAAACAUCAGCACCAGGCAGGUAGAGGAGCAGGAUCAUACAUCAGCACCAGGCAGGUAGAGGAGCAGGAUCAUACAUCAGCACCAGGCAGGUAGAGGAGCAGGAUCAUACAUCAGCACCAGGCAGGUAGAGGAGCAGGAUCAUACAUCAGCACCAGGCAGGUAGAGGAGCAGGAUCAUACAUCAGCACCAGGCAGGUAGAGGAGCAGGAUCAAACAUCAGCACCAGGCAGGUAGAGGAGCAGGAUCAUACAUCAGCACCAGGCAGGUAGAGGAGCAGGAUCAAACAUCAGCACCAGGCAGGUAGAGGAGCAGGAUCAUACAUCAGCACCAGGCAGGUAGAGGAGCAGGAUCAUACAUCAGCACCAGGCAGGUAGAGGAGCAGGAUCAUACAUCAGCACCAGGCAGGUAGAGGAGCAGGAUCAUACAUCAGCACCAGGCAGGUAGAGGAGCAGGAUCAAACAUCAGCACCAGGCAGGUAGAGGAGCAGGAUCAUACAUCAGCACCAGGCAGGUAGAGGAGCAGGAUCAUACAUCAGCACCAGGCAGGUAGAGGAGCAGGAUCAAACAUCAGCACCAGGCAGGUAGAGGAGCAGGUGUAGAGGAGGAAGAGAUGAGGAGCCGGAGGAGAGGAGAGGGGAAGGAGGUGAGGAAAGUAGAGGGGGAGGUGGAAAGGGGAAGGAGGUGAGGAAAGUAGAGGGGGAGGGGGAGAGGAGAAGGAGGUGAGGAAAGUAGAGGGGGAGGGGGAGAGGAGAAGGAGGUGAGGAAAGUAGAGGGGGAGGGGGAGAGGAGAAGGAGGUGAGGAAAGUAGAGGGGGAGGGGGAGAGGAGAAGGAGGUGAGGAAAGUAGAGGGGGAGGGGAGAGGAGAAGGAGGUGAGGAAAGUAGAGGGGGAGGGGAGAGGAGAAGGAGGUGAGGAAAGUAGAGGGGGAGGGGAGAGGAGAAGGAGGUGAGGAAAGUAGAGGGGGAGGGGAGAGGAGAAGGAGGUGAGGAAAGUAGAGGGGGAGGGGAGAGGAGAAGGAGGUGAGGAAAGUAGAGGGGGAGGGGAGAGGAGAAGGAGGUGAGGAAAGUAGAGGGGGAGGGGAGAGGAGAAGGAGGUGAGGAAAGUAGAGGGGGAGGGGAGAGGAGAAGGAGGUGAGGAAAGUAGAGGGGGAGGGGAGAGGAGAAGGAGGUGAGGAAAGUAGAGGGGGAGGGGAGAGGAGAAGGAGGUGAGGAAAGUAGAGGGGGAGGGGAGAGGAGAAGGAGGUGAGGAAAGUAGAGGGGGAGGGGAAGGAAAAAUGAAAGGAGGAGAAACAAACAUCAUAAAGGGUAAACGUGCACCUACAUAUACUGUACACAUGCACCCACACACUUCCACUCCCCCA